GGCGAGGUAGCUCAGUUGGUUAGAGCGUCGGAUUCAUAACCCGGAGGCCGAGAGUUCAAAUCUCUCCCUCGCUA
This 74-nucleotide transfer RNA is filed under the name Bacteroidota bacterium. RNAcentral's name for it is "tRNA-Met". It matches the Rfam family "tRNA". From Rfam's summary of the family: Transfer RNA (tRNA) molecules are approximately 80 nucleotides in length. Lineage: Bacteria; Pseudomonadati; Bacteroidota. The record is from RNAcentral. RNAcentral also lists the same sequence under 2 other names.